UGCAAGUCGAGCGAACAGAAGGGAGCUUGCUCCCGGAUGUUAGCGGCGGACGGGUGAGUAACACGUGGGUAACCUGCCUGUAAGACUGGGAUAACUCCGGGAAACCGGAGCUAAUACCGGAUAGUUCCUUGAACCGCAUGGUUCAAGGAUGAAAGACGGUUUCGGCUGUCACUUACAGAUGGACCCGCGGCGCAUUAGCUAGUUGGUGGGGUAAUGGCUCACCAAGGCGACGAUGCGUAGCCGACCUGAGAGGGUGAUCGGCCACACUGGGACUGAGACACGGCCCAGACUCCUACGGGAGGCAGCAGUAGGGAAUCUUCCGCAAUGGACGAAAGUCUGACGGAGCAACGCCGCGUGAGUGAUGAAGGUUUUCGGAUCGUAAAGCUCUGUUGUUAGGGAAGAACAAGUGCGAGAGUAACUGCUCGCACCUUG
Molecule: ribosomal RNA, 432 nt
Filed under: marine bacterium SIMO-IS194
Lineage: Bacteria; Bacillati; Bacillota
Description: bacterial SSU rRNA
Rfam family: Bacterial small subunit ribosomal RNA
Source: RNAcentral